AUGCACACAGACACACCCACACAGGCACACAGACACACAGACACACACAGACAUGCAUACACAGAGACACACACUCAGAUACACACACAGGCACACAGAUAUAGACACACACUCAGACACACAGAUAUACACAGACAUGCACACAGAGACACACUCAUACUCACACAGACCAACAUACACUCGUGCACACACAGACACACACUCAGACACACUCAUGCACACUCACGCACACACACAUGCACAGAGACACACACUCAGAUACACACACAGGCACACAGAUACAGACACACACACUCAGACACACAGAUACGGACACACACACAGGGACGCAUACAAUCUCAGACACACAGACUGACACACACUUGUGCACACGCAGGCACACACUCAGCACACUUGUGCACACUCAUGCACAUACAGACACAUGUACAGGCACACAGACACACCCACACACUAGCACACAGAUACACAUACAUGCACAGACAUACUGACACACACUCACGCAGAUACACACAGACAUGCACACAGAGACACACACUCAGACACACACAGGCACACAGACACAGACAUACCCACUCACACAGAUGCACACAGACAUGCACACAGAGACACAUACUCAGAUACACAGACACACACAGGCACACAGACACAGACACACACACUCACACAGAUGCACACAGACAUGCACAGAUAUACAGACAUACACACUCACACAGAUGCACACAGACAUGCACACAGAGACGCAUGCACACUCAGACACACAGACUGACACACACUCGUGCACAUGCAGGCACACAUUCAGCACACGUGUGCACACUCAUGCACACACACAUUCACACUCAUAGCGCAUCCACUGCAGCCUGCACCUCCCUCCCCGCUGUGAGCUGCAGCCCAGCAUUGCUGCAGCCGCCCCAGCUGUGGCGCCCGUGGGGCUGUGAGUUCCCUGAGGGUGCUUUGCGCUGUGUGCCCUGGGCUGGGCCACAGCCGGCGCCCAGCCAUGCCGUUUUGUCUGGUGGGACCAGCUCCACUCUUGUCGCGUGCAUGUGUCCUGGUGAGAUUUCGUCUGAAGCAAGAAUUCUGUGGCCAACCACCCUUUAA
This 1095-nucleotide long non-coding RNA is filed under the name Oryctolagus cuniculus (rabbit). Its description in RNAcentral is "lncRNA (ENSOCUG00000030061.1)". The record is from RNAcentral. Lineage: Eukaryota; Metazoa; Chordata; Mammalia; Lagomorpha; Leporidae.